UACGUAGGGUGCAAGCGUUGUCCGGAUUUAUUGGGCGUAAAGAGCUCGUAGGCGGUUUGUCGCGUCGGAUGUGAAAACCCAGGGCUCAACCUGGGAAUGGCAGUGGAUACUGGCAAGCUAGAGUGCGGUAGAGGGGUGUGGAAUUCCCGGUGUAGCGGUGAAAUGCGUAGAGAUCGGGAGGAACACCAGUGGCGAAGGCGGCACCCUGGACCAGCACUGACACUGAGGCACGAAAGCGUGGGGAGCAAACAGG
This 253-nucleotide ribosomal RNA is filed under the name uncultured bacterium. RNAcentral's name for it is "partial 16S ribosomal RNA". It matches the Rfam family "Bacterial small subunit ribosomal RNA", at positions 524 to 776 of the family's 1533-position model. The record is from RNAcentral.